Molecule: ribosomal RNA, 475 nt
Filed under: uncultured bacterium
Lineage: Bacteria
Description: SSU rRNA
Rfam family: Bacterial small subunit ribosomal RNA
Source: RNAcentral
AGGACGAACGCUGGCGGCGUGCUUAACACAUGCAAGUCGAGCGGAAAGGCCCUUCGGGGUACUCGAGCGGCGAACGGGUGAGUAACACGUGAGCAAUCUGCCCUUAGCUUCGGGAUAGCCCCGGGAAACCGGGAUUAAUACCGAAUAUGACCUUGGCCGACAUCGGCCUUGGUGGAAAGUUUUUCGGCUAGGGAUGAACUCGCGGCCUAUCAGCUUGUUGGUGGGGUAAUGGCCUACCAAGGCGACGACGGGUAGCCGGCCUGAGAGGGCGACCGGGCCACACUGGGACUGAGACACGGCCCAGACUCCUACGGGAGGCAGCAGUGGGGAAUAUUGCGCAAUGGGCGAAAGCCUGACGCAGCGACGCCGCGUGGGGGAUGAAGGCCUUCGGGUUGUAAACCCCUUUCAGCAGGGACGAAGCGAAAGUGACGGUACCUGCAGAAGAAGCGCCGGCUAACUACGUGCCAGCAGCCGC